AGAGUUUGAUCCUGGCUCAGGACGAACGCUGGCGGCGUGCUUAACACAUGCAAGUCAAGGGGACCCGCAAGGGUAACCGGCGAACGGGUGCGUAACACGUGAGCAACCUGCCUUAGUGUGGGGGAUAGCCGGCCCAACGGCCGGGUAAUACCGCAUACGCUCACUGGGUGGCAUCACCUGGUGAAGAAACUUUCGAGGCACUAAGAGGGGCUCGCGGCCUAUCAGCUUGUUGGUGGGGUAAUGGCCUACCAAGGCAUCGACGGGUAGCUGGUCUGAGAGGAUGGCCAGCCACAUUGGGACUGAGAUACGGCCCAGACUCCUACGGGAGGCAGCAGUGGGGAAUAUUGCGCAAUGGGCGAAAGCCUGACGCAGCGACGCCGCGUGGGGGAUGAAGCAUUUCGGUGUGUAAACCCCUGUUGCUCGGGACGAACAACUGGUUUUGACCAGUCUGACGGUACCGGGUGAGGAAGCACCGGCUAACUCCGUGCCAGCAGCCGCGGUAAU
RNAcentral lists this ribosomal RNA (504 nucleotides) under uncultured soil bacterium. RNAcentral describes it as "bacterial SSU rRNA". It matches the Rfam family "Bacterial small subunit ribosomal RNA", at positions 8 to 524 of the family's 1533-position model. The record is from RNAcentral.